RNAcentral lists this long non-coding RNA (206 nucleotides) under Ananas comosus (pineapple). RNAcentral's name for it is "long non-coding RNA (ACOM_LNC032750)". The record is from RNAcentral. Lineage: Eukaryota; Viridiplantae; Streptophyta; Magnoliopsida; Poales; Bromeliaceae.
GGUUGUAAGAAUUUUGUUAGGUUUGAGGUGGCAGACCUCUAAUCUACCUCUUUUUCUCUAUUGUAAACAUUCAUUGUAAGGCACUUAUGAUUGAAGGUUUAUUUGGUAUUUUUCAGUUUUUCAUUGUAUAGUAUUUUGGAUACUUUUGGUGAAGUUGAUUAAAUUCAUAUGUGGAGUUGUUUAAAAUUAUUAUUGUGAGCUUUUUG